CGGUAAAUAGAAACUGUGAUGAGUAAGAGGGCGUGAAUACUGUACCGAAGACUUGGGUGUGAACCUAGUUGGAACAGUAUUUAGUGCAGAUCUUGGUGGUAGUAGCAAAUAUUCAAAAUGAGAACUUUGAAGGCCGAAGUGGAGAAGGGUUCCAUGAGAACAGCAUUUGGUCAUGGGUUACUCGCUCCUAAGACAUAGGGAAAUUCCUUGUAAUACACGUGCUCUUACGAGUACGAAGUCGAAAGGGAAUGAGGUUAAUAUUCCUCAAGUAGGGUGUGGGAUGAAAUGUGGCAACAACAAAAUGUAGCUUGGAGACAUCGGUAUGUACCCCUGGAAGAGUUCUCUUUUCUUCUUAACAGUUUUAUCUCCCUGAAUGAAUUAUUCAGAGAUAGGGAUGUAUAACUGGCAGAGCAGCUCACUUUUCGGGCUGUCAGGUGUGUUCAUAACGAUCCUUGAAAAUCCAA
RNAcentral lists this ribosomal RNA (464 nucleotides) under uncultured eukaryote. RNAcentral describes it as "eukaryotic LSU rRNA". It matches the Rfam family "Eukaryotic large subunit ribosomal RNA", at positions 1358 to 1816 of the family's 3401-position model. The record is from RNAcentral.